AUUGAACGCUGGCGGCAGGCCUAACACAUGCAAGUCGAGCGGAGCGGCGGACGGGUGAGUAAUGCCUAUGAAUCUGACUGGUCGCGGGGGAUAAGGUUCGGUAACGGGCGCUAAUACCGCUUCCUAUCACAUGAGCAUAGGUCGGAUUAGCUAGUUGGUGGGGUAAAGGCUUACCAAGGCGACGACCCGUAACUGGUCUGAGAGGAUGAUCAGUCACACUGGAACUGAGACACGGCCCAGACUCCUACGGGAGGCAGCAGUGGGGAAUAUUGGACAAUGGGCGAAAGCCUGAUGCAGCCAUGCCGCGUGUAUGAAGAAGGUCUUCGGAUUGUAAAGCACUUUAAGUUGGGAGGCGUUACCCACAGAAGAAGCACCGGCUAACUUCGUGCCAGCAGCCGCGGUAAUAC
This 407-nucleotide ribosomal RNA is filed under the name uncultured bacterium. RNAcentral describes it as "partial 16S ribosomal RNA". It matches the Rfam family "Bacterial small subunit ribosomal RNA", at positions 30 to 526 of the family's 1533-position model. The record is from RNAcentral.